This 537-nucleotide ribosomal RNA is filed under the name uncultured bacterium. Its description in RNAcentral is "bacterial SSU rRNA". It matches the Rfam family "Bacterial small subunit ribosomal RNA", at positions 8 to 526 of the family's 1533-position model. The record is from RNAcentral.
AGAGUUUGAUCCUGGCUCAGAUUGAACGCUGGCGGCAGGCCUAACACAUGCAAGUCGAACGGUAACAGGAAGCAGCUUGCUGCUUUGCUGACGAGUGGCGGACGGGUGAGUAACACGUGGGCAACCUGCCCAACAGAGGGGGAUAACACUUGGAAACAGGUGCUAAUACCGCAUAGGUCAUCAUUCCACAUGGAAAGAUGACAAAAGACGCUACGGUGUCGCUGAUGGAUGGACCCGCGGUGCAUUAGCUAGUUGGUGAGGUAACGGCUCACCAAGGCCACGAUGCAUAGCCGACCUGAGAGGGUGAUCGGCCACACUGGGACUGAGACACGGCCCAGACUCCUACGGGAGGCAGCAGUAGGGAAUCUUCGGCAAUGGACGAAAGUCUGACCGAGCAACGCCGCGUGAGUGAAGAAGGUUUUCGGAUCGUAAAACUCUGUUGUUAGAGAAGAACAAGGACGUUAGUAACUGAACGUCCCCUGACGGUAUCUAACCAGAAAGCCACGGCUAACUACGUGCCAGCAGCCGCGGUAAUAC